CCUACGGGAGGCAGCAGUGGGGAAUUUUGGACAAUGGGCGCAAGCCUGAUCCAGCAAUGCCGCGUGAGUGAAGAAGGCCUUCGGGUUGUAAAGCUCUUUUGUCAGGGAAGAAAAGGCUACGGAUAAUACCUGUGGCUCAUGACGGUACCUGAAGAAUAAGCACCGGCUAACUACGUGCCAGCAGCCGCGGUAAUACGUAGGGUGCAAGCGUUAAUCGGAAUUACUGGGCGUAAAGCGUGCGCAGGCGGUUUUGUAAGACUGUCGUGAAAUCCCCGGGCUCAACCUGGGAAUGGCGAUGGUGACUGCAAGGCUAGAGUUUGGCAGAGGGGGGUAGAAUUCCACGUGUAGCAGUGAAAUGCGUAGAUAUGUGGAGGAACACCGAUGGCGAAGGCAGCCCCCUGGGUCAAAACUGACGCUCAUGCACGAAAGCGUGGGGAGCAAACAGGAUUAGAUACCCUGGUAGUCCACGCCCUAAACGAUGUCUACUAGUUGUCGGGUUUUAAUUAACUUGGUAACGCAGCUAACGCGUGAAGUAGACCGCCUGGGGAUACGGUCGCAAGNUUAAAACNCAAAGGAUUGACGGNNGAGAGACGACGACGACGACGAGGAGAGG
This 613-nucleotide ribosomal RNA is filed under the name uncultured bacterium. RNAcentral describes it as "bacterial SSU rRNA". It matches the Rfam family "Bacterial small subunit ribosomal RNA", at positions 338 to 946 of the family's 1533-position model. The record is from RNAcentral.